This 3481-nucleotide long non-coding RNA is filed under the name Marmota monax (woodchuck). Lineage: Eukaryota; Metazoa; Chordata; Mammalia; Rodentia; Sciuridae. The record is from RNAcentral.
AGAAACGGGUUGGGGCUGGGGUGUGGCUUGGUGGUAGAGCGCUUGGCUGGCAUUCGGGAAUCCUUGGGCUCAUUCCCCGCACCACAAAAAAUUAUAAUUUAAAAAAAGGGGGGCUGGGGGGUGCAGCUCGGAGAUAUAGCACUUGCCUAGCAAAUGCAAGGCCUUGGGUUCAACCCCCAGCUCUGCACUAAAUAAAUAAAUAAACAAAUAAAAGAAACGGGAAAGGAAGAAACGUGACCACACCCAGUGAAAGGAGGUCACCCAGCUAUUUCUGUUCUAACCCUGUGGGAAUUUAUGCCAAGGAAAAGGCGUCAAAUAGAUACAAAAAGCCAGGGCCAUUAAAAUAUGCCUGGUGGCUUUAUUGUCAAUGAAAAACAAAAUAAGACUAUAGCCUAAACACUUGCUAAGGAAAGAAUUUUCCAAAAAUAUGGUAAAAACAUACAAAGAAGUAGUGUAAAGCCACCAAAAUGACCUUAAAAGUAAGGAUAACUUUGAAGAUAAUGUUGACUUAAUAGUGUUAAGUAGGGCUGGGGCUGGGGCUCAGUGGCAGAGUGCUUGCCUCGCACGUGUGGGGCACUGGGUUGAUCCUCAGCACCACAUAAAAAUAAAUAAAUAAAAUAAAGGUAUGUGUCCUUCUACAACUAAAAAUAUUUUUUAAAUAGUGAUAAGGAAAUAUAAAUUGUAAAAUUAAGUUUAGAAAUGGCAGCUAGGUACAGAUCUGUCUGCUCUAAGCUGAGUGGUCAGCUCAGGAUCCCAUCCAGAUGCAGAUAGGACAGUGGCACUUGCUCUAGGAGCUGGUGAAUACCCAAUUUUUUUCCCCCAUCUUUUCUUUCUCGUCACGACACCAUCUUUUUAAUAAUACUGGAUAAAUAUUUUUAAACAAUGAGUCCAUGGAUGGACCAUCUGUUCUGGGAAGCCCCUGGCCCAGGAACUGUGGGAAAGGCAGGAAGCAGAAAGGUCACGGUCCCAGGGGGAAAUCCCACAGUUGACAGGCCCAGCUUCAGAGAACCUGCUUUCCUGAUGACCACAGUGACCCGGUUUUGAAGUAGUCAGCUCUUGCUGAAAUGUCACACGGGUGGUGGAUCACGGGGCAGUCGGUCUCCCCCAUGUCCCUUCCUUCGUUCUGAACAAAGCAUUUCUGUGGUGCACAGAUGUCCACCAGACUUCAGUGCACUUCAACCUUAUUUUAAUCUUAAAAAAUAACUAAUAUGUACAUACAUUUAUUGUCAGGAAGCAGAGAGCUGGGUGCACAUGAGGAAAUAAAAGAAAGCCGAGGGUUUGUGGAAUCCCAGGAAGAUUCCCUACAAUCAGGGACGUCGCUGAAGGAGAGCCAGUGCUUACCCCUUCCACUCUGGGGAUGACCACAGUGUCCAUCCCUACAGGACCCUGUCCACAGGCCAGAAGGCUUCUGACCCCGCAGGACCUGGCAGAGGGAGUGACAGGUCUGUGUAGCCCGGUCCCACUCAGGAAAUGCAACUCAAGGGGCCAAGUUCUUGACAUUAUGUGACCUGAAACUCCAUACUUUUGUUCAGUGGGAAAGAUGGUUUUGGGUCCCAUGGAGGAGCGGACAGCGUCACAGAGGCCAGUCACAGAAAUCAGGAGUGCCAGAGGUGAGGGGGCAUUGGGGGAGACCUCAGGCUGUCUAUACUGCCUGCCUCCCUGGGGACAGAAGAAACCUCCAGGCAUCAGUGGGGACACGGCUUCAGGUUUUCAUUUCCUCGUGGGCUGCUGGCCCCAUGUGAAUGUCUGUGGCAGCAGAAGGAGCCAAAUGCUCCUCUGUCUUCCCCAGCUGCAGGCCCCUUCUUCCUCCUCCACCCUCUGCUGCCCUUCCCCAGUCUGGGGGGAAGGUCAGUGUUGAGUUCCCAUUUCAAAGGCCCAAACAGAGGCUGCAGGGCUUAAAGCCAGGCACCCAGUUAACAUGGAGGGCAAGGUACAGGGGAUGCUGACCGUCCCCCACCCUCCUGCAGGGCUCAUCAUUUCUUCGCCUUCCCUGUGGUUGGCAGGGCGAGGGGUGCCCCUGUCAGGGUGGUGCCAAGCAGAAAACAGGAGGAUCAGUGCCAAGAGGGUCAAGGGCAAGUCUGAGCUCAUGACCCUGGCCUGGUCCCUGCCCACUUCCUGGCUUCUGCUGCCGCCCCUCAGUCUUGUGCCUGUGGCCACACCCAGCUCUCUACCUUGUCUAGCACCACUCUGCUCCGUCAUUAGGGCCUCAGCUCAAAGGUCACCUAUUCCAAGAGGCCUUUGCUGACCACAGCAGACAGAGUCCUGCUCUGAUGACCCUGUUGCAUCUCCGCCACUGUCUGGUAUGUGCCCUGUGGCUGGCCGUGUGCGUGUCCGUCCUGGACCCCUGCCUCUGUCUCCCUUCCCUCCAUGAUCCCAACGCCUGGUCUGGCUCCCCUCGUGUCUCCAGAGCCAGGUGCCCUGCUCACUCUGGCUGUGGUGAAUGGACGCCAGGCCACUCUGGUGCUCCAGUGUGUCCUGCUGUGCCCACCUUGGUCACACCUUUGCUCCUGUCUGGGUCACCUAUGUGUUUGGUUGUGCAUCUUCUUGAACACCACUGUGGGUUCAGGUUGGGCACCUCCAGUGGACAAGAUGGCAGGAGGGGAGCUGGCGGCUGGGCCCAGGGACUCCUCCAGCUCUUCUGCAGACCCUUUUUCCUUCCCGGGAGGCCGCCUCUCCCCUGAGGUCACCUAUCCCAGGCGCCCUCCUCUAGCACACUCUCUGUGACUAGAUGGCCCGAGAGGCCAUUUCCCUCCAGGCUCAAUGAGUGGAGGCAAACCUACGGUGACAAGAGAUUGGGGCUGUAGCCGAGGCUUGAGGACCUUGGGAUCCACUUUGCUGCCGACACCUCUUCCCUUGCUCUCAGAAGACGAGGCCUGGGGGUGGCUCAGGAAAUGAGCAAGGAGAAGCAGGGCUGGCUGGGGGCCAUGCUGGGGCCAGCUCCAGACAGGACGGGGGCCCCUGCGGCUGACAAGGGUGGAAGCCAGGGCUCACCAGGACAUGUGGCCCACCCAGGUGAGACACUGGGCGGGGGAGGGAGGCAGGGCGGUGGCCUCCUGCCCAUCGGGUCCCCGCGCUGGUCAAGGUCCUAUGAUUGCAGCUGAGGUGGCCGCAGCUCCUCCCUGGGCCUUCCCCUCAUCCCAGACUCUCACCUGGGCUGGCAGUGGCGGGGGCUGGGAAAGAGGCAGGUGACAAUCCCCCUGAGAGGUGACAGCCUGGGGCGGGAGCCACCAGCGCGCCACCUGAGAGUGGGUGAGGAGCAGGUUAGCUGGGUGAAAAGUUCAGCGCCAGGGCAGCUGUCUGUUUCCCCGCGAAUUCACCCACUAUUUGGCUAACCUUGCUCUGAACCCAGGCCCGAGACCCCUCUCCGCUCCCCCCGCCUCCCCGCUGGGCGCCCCGGCUGCCACCCGCCUCCUGCCGCCCGCGCCGCCAGGCUGGGGACACGCUGGCCUUGAGAGGCCUGGGCCGAGGGCGCCUGGGGGAG